Molecule: ribosomal RNA, 387 nt
Filed under: Triticum aestivum (bread wheat)
Lineage: Eukaryota; Viridiplantae; Streptophyta; Magnoliopsida; Poales; Poaceae
Description: partial small subunit ribosomal RNA
Source: RNAcentral
AUGAUCUUCGUUGUGGUUCUCAUCUCUGAAGAUCCUGUUUUUUUACCUCGUGUUAAGGGUGGUGGAGAGAGCCUGAACCAGCUUACCCAGCGGUGCGUCGCCUACCUAAACAAAAUCGCUCAGCAACACAUGGGGGAGCGGGUGAUCGUGGUCUCUCACGACGCGGCGACAGUGGAGCUCUGCCGGCACACUUAUCCCCCCGGCAGCUCGGUUCGCCGGAACGUCCCCAACACCUCGCUCAACGUCUUCCACGUCUCCGGUGUCAACGGGCAGUGGGUCCUCACGAGGUUCGGCGACGUCCGCCACCUCUUCUGCCUAAGAGCAUCUCCAACAGACGCGCGCAGGCGGCGUGUUAAAAGUUUUUUACUACGUCGAAAUAGCGGUUGA